AGGCAGGGGCAGAAGGGGUCCAGGCAGGAAUGGGGAUCCAGGCAGGAGCGGGGGUCCAGGCAGGAAUGGGGAGGUCCAGGCAGGGAAAAAACUGGUGAUGAAUGGUCUUGGAGAGAGCCGGAGGGGAAAAAGGAUGGCGGAGAUCCCGGACAGCUGAACUGUGUGGAGGCAGGAGAAAACAACGUAAGACAAGGUAAACUCAACAGAUUCUACAAGGGCGAGAAAGCGAACUGAACUGUGGUGUCUUGGUUCAACAAUCUGGCAGGGAGUGGAAGGAUGAGCCGGUUCUUAUUGCAGAGGUGAUUAAUCAGCGUGAUGUCCCUCAGCUGUCCGGGAGCCGUGGAGGUGGUUGAUUGCCUGAGUGGAGUCAGCUGGGAAGCUAGACUCCACUCAGGCACCGAGCUGUAGGGGGAGAGACAGGGCAGAGGAGCGGAUGGGAGACAGGCGAGACAGACAGGGCAGAGGAACAGGAGAGGGGGAGAGGAGCAUGAGAGGGAGGAAACAGAUGGGGAAAAGGGGUAUUUGGGGAUGUCAGGUGGGAAGGACGGGGGUGAGGAGGGAGCCCUGACAGAUAUAUUAUUAUCCAGGCAACAAUCUUUAAUAAAUUAUAUUCAAUUGCUAAUCUGUACGACCCAAAUAAUGAUGAUCCAGCCUUCUUUCAUGUGGUUUUCUCCCACUUAGCAGACUUAUCUGCUAACUCAACAACCAUUAUUGGUGGCGACUUCAACAUAGUAUUAAACCCGUCACUAGAUCGAUCUCAUAGUCCAAUACAUGCAAAACAACCACAAUCAGCUAAAGUCAUACGGGAUUAUAUGAAAGAUUUUGGACUAGAAGAUGUCUGGAGACUCAAAAACCCAACAAAGAGGGACUAUACUUUUUUCUCUCAGGUACACCAAACAUUUUCAAGAAUUGACUUUUUCCUCUCAAAUAACUCUAUCGCACACAAAGCUACUACUAAAAUUCACCCAAUCAUUAUCAGCGACCAUGCACCCAUAUCUCUCAGCCUGCAAACAGAUUCCAUCCCUAAACCUCCUCUGACUUGGCGCCUAAACAUCUCUCUACUCGAAGACCAGGAAUUUGAUCGAAUAAUAAGAAGUGAGUGGGCAGACUUUCUAAAAAACAAUGACUCCAAUGAUGUAUCUCCAUCUUUACUUUGGGAAACUGGAAAAGCCGUAAUCAGAGGCAAAAUAAUAUCGUACUCCUCGUACAAGAAAAAAAGGAUCAACAACUACAGGAAGAAAUUGGGGAAAAAAUUAAAGAACUUACAGAGAACUAUGCAAUAAAUCCAAGUGAUCAAUUAUGGUCUGAACUACAAAAUGUUAAACUAAAACUCGAUAAUAUCUUAUCAAAGAAAACAGAGUUCAUAUUACAACAGCUGAGAUAUAAUAAUUUUGAACACAACAAUAAAUCAGGAAAAUUUCUUGCGAACCAACUCCAGCGCAAUAAAGAAAAAUCCUUCAUAACAGCAAGUCAGGAUCCCUCAGGAAAAUACACUCAGUCACCCCAGGAAAUCAAUCAGACUUACUAUAAUUAUUACCAAAGCUUGUACUCAUCAACAGUCAACCCAAACGAAGAAGAUAUUCAUAACUUUCUUGACAAUCUAAACUUGCCCGAAUUAACAUCAGAUCACAGAGACACACUAGAUGCUCCAUUGUCUAUCAAAGAGUUACAGUGUGCAUUAGACAGUAUGCCAGCAGGCAAGGCACCUGGUCCUGAUGGCUUCCCUGCUGAAUUUCUUAAACAAUUCUGGUCAAUGUUAGCACCCCUGUUCUUCAGGACAGUGACAGAGAUUAAAAAUAAUGGUUAUAUAAGUUCACAUAUGAAUACAGCUGCAAUUAAAUUAUUAAUGAAACCAGACAAAGACCCGACACUUCCCUCCAGCUAUCGUCCUCUGUCACUAAUCAACACUGACAUCAAAAUUAUGUCAAAAGCACUCACCUCUAGGUUGGAGAAAAUUAUCCCGUCAAUAAUCCACUAUGAUCAAACAGGUUUCAUAAAUGGCCGACACUCCACCAACAAUAUCAGAAGACUUCUUAAUCUAAUCUCUCUGACGCAACACCACAAUAAAGAAGCUAUCGUUAUGUCACUGGAUGCAGAAAAAGCCUUUGACAAAGUCAAUUGGUCCUUUCUCUUCGCUGUGCUCCGCAAAUUUGGCUUCGGAGAGUCAUUUAUCCAGUGGAUAUCAGCUCUGUACUACUCACCCAAGGCUACAGUAACCACUAAUGGAAUCACUUCACAAAGUUUCAGUUUGCAAAGGGGAACGAGACAAGGAUGCCCACUCUCUCCUUUAUUGUUUUCAAUCUUUAUCGAACCAUGAGCAACAGCUGUACGUCAGAGCACUGAUAUCAAAGGUAUCUGUGCUUUGGAGACUGAACACAAAAUUAACCUAUACGCAGACGACAUUUUAAUUUACCUACAAGAACCGAAAACCUCAGUGAAGGAAGUAUUUAACCUCAUUACAACCUUCUCACAUCUUUCAGACUACUCCAUCAACUGGUCAGAAUCAAUCAUAUUACGAUGUGGGCCAAAGGCGGAGGGAAGACAGUAGUGUCGCAUAUUCGUUUCCGCCCGGUAACGCCCAUUAAUAUCUGGCUGGAUACCGCCGUAGCGAACGAAUAUUUGGCUAUUCGGGAUAUUUGUGUCCAGCCCUACUGCGUGUGUGUAUCAGAGCUGAAGACUUAAUGUCUCAUUUCAGGGUUUUCAGGUUUUUGAGGCUUCCUAAAAUGAGAACGUUUUAAAGCCCAAAAUCAGAGGACUCGGCAGGUGUCGAGGCUUUGGAAAGUCUUGGAACUGAGGGUUCAACCCUCCAGCACAAAGGCUGAAGUUCAACUUCCCGAGAAAAACGGUCAUGUCGAGACUCGAGUUAAAAAAAACCCUCAAAGGACAAAAAAUAGAAGAUAAAUGCACAAAAAAAAAGAAGAAAUAGUAUCUGAGCGAGUGGCGCUCCCUGCCGCCUGAGGGUCGAGCUCAUUCUUGGUAGCGACGGCCAGUCACCUUGCCGCCUGCUACCAAGAAUCUACCAAGAAUUGAAGGCCCUGGCCAAUCAGCGCUGGCAUCACUACCAGGAUUCGCUGCUACCAAGAACUGACCAAGAGAUAGCGCCGCUGGGGAGCGCUCACCUAUUGCCUCAUUUGACAGCGGCUUUUCAAAGGUAGGGACGCUUGUGUUUCUGCGAGUUUUAUCUAAAUAAGUUGUUGUUUGUUGUUGUUUUAAAAAGGUAAUAUUAAACUACAGAAUUAAAAGAGCUAGCGAUGUGAUGUGUGCGGGUACGUGUUUUUGUGAGGUCCCGUCGUCGCCGUAUAAACUUUGGAUUUUCUUUUUUAUCGUUUUGGAUACUCCAUGCGAAUAUGAACGUUUGUCACAGUGGUGUUGCUGAAAAGUCAAUUUAACCUGACAUUUUUGGUGGCCGGUGUGACGUUACCGACGGCUUUAUAAUGCUAGGUUUACUUCGUCCUGUUACCUGUCAGGUCCCGGCGUCACCGUAUAAACUUUGGAUUUUCUUUUGUCGUUCUGGAUACUCCAUGCUAAUAUGAACGUUUGUCACAGUGGUGUUGCUGUAAAGUCAAUUUAACAUGACAUUUUUGGUGGCCAGUGUGACGUUACCGACUGCUUUAUAACACUAGGUUUACUUCGUCCUGUUACAUGUCAGGUCUCGUCGUCGCCGUAUAAACUUUGGAUUUUCUUGUUUUGUUUUGGGUUUUUUUGUCUGCAUAUCCGCUCACAAAUGACACCAGCUUAAGUAAUGACACCAUGGUGUCAUUACUUAAGCUUCAUGGAAUUUUUUUCUUAUUUGUGAGUGUGACCAUCACCUGCCCUCAUGGCAAAUUAACCUAUCAUGUUUAUUAUCCCCCGCCUCCACGAAGUGGAAAAGGGGGAUGUAGGUUUGGCCUCCGUCCGUCCGUGAGUCCGUCCGUCCGUCCGUCCGUGCGUCCCUCCGUGCAUCCGACAUGAAGGGGACAGCUUUUCUCGGAAACUGUUACUGCUAGGAUUACAAAAUUUAGCGUGUAGCUUCACACCAUGGACACCUUGAUCAAGUUCGAAAAUGAGACCUGUGCGAUAUUAUUUAACAGAGUUAUGGCCCUUUAUCACUAUUUUGUAUAUAGACUCAUAGACAUCACGUGGAGGGGGAUAUUGAUGACCAUGUCGUCUUGUUUCAAACUGUUUCCUACAUUAUGCCAUUGAGGGCUGUGCACACCCAAGUGAAACAUAAAGUAAACAGUACAGACAGAAAAGUGAGGCAUAGACAGUGUUCUGAGAGAAAAGGUGCAUUCUAUUUAUUUGUGCUCUUUAAUUCACACCUUGAAAACCAGUUACAAAUCUAAGACCCUUCACAAACACCAGAUACGACAGAAUCCCAACAGGCUCAAUCAUGAAGAUGUCAGAAGGCCACAGGAAGGAUAGAUGAACCAGGGUGAGAUCCACAGACACUAACCCAGCAGCCUCCACUGACUCAACGACCGGAGGAACAAACUCUAUUGAGUUUUGGUAGAUGCCGGUGUGGUGGGUCUGGCAUGCAUGAAAACCUCCCCCAAAAGAAGGGAACUGUCCCCUCCAGCCCAAGGAGGCCCACACCGCCCCCCCGCAGGAGCUGGGAACCACGGGAGGCCAACGACACCACACAAAGCGGCCGCCCCCACGAAGAAAACACGACACGCGGCCCAGCCCGACCAGGUGCCCGAUCCAGACGGCCACCAGGCCACCACCCGCGACGUUUUUAGUCGCAAAUGGCGACCCGGCGACCGCCCAAACCAAGCACCCGACCGAGCCAAACCGCCCACCACGCCCCCCCACGGAAGCAGCCACCCCGCACGACGCCACCAACAACCCCCCACGACCCCCGGUGCCCGUGGCAACCCGGCAGCCGCCCAAACCGAGCGCCGCCCAGGGGGCAAGGCCAACCACGUCGAGCCACAGGGGACAGCACCUAGAAAGUUAGCCAAGCAUGCAGUGACACCAAGCUCGCCAUUCAUGCAUAUAGAGGGAGGAUCCUGAGUUGAUGACUGUAAGGUGUCGUCGAUACGGCCCGCUCGGUCCUGCUGACAGCGACUGGGUUCCUAACUGAAGACAAUCAUUAGUUAUACAAUGCCAAAGUACAUAAGCAGCAACAUAUAUUGGGGUGAUGUGGUGGCUCUCGCUAACAGGCAGAGUCAGGUUACCAGGUUUAAGUUAAGGGAGUUAAUACGGUGACCAUGUUUGUAUAAAAUUUAACAACUGAUUUUUAUUUCAAGCAGAGAUUUUCUCCAUUGAAAUGUGAUUUAUUAGGAGGUUCAACCAGAGGUUGAUGUUCAGAGAUUGCUUAUUUUUCCAGUUAACAAGGAUUGCUUUUUUGGUGAUGGCGAGGGCUACAAGUAAGGAUUGAGAUUGUUUGCGUGGUAGGUCCGUUGUUAAGUCGCCGAGUAAACACAGACUUGGAGAUAAAGGAAUGUCAAAGAAAGCUUUGAGAUAGCUUUAGCUAAUGCAGGCAGCUGGAGCUUGCCUUGAAGUGUUGGAAUUCUUUUCUUAAUAAUAUUUUUAACUUGUAGAUAAUGUAAAAAGUUCCCAUUUUUUAUUUUGUAUUUUUGAAGCAAGUUUGUAUAUGACAUGAACGUAUUAUCUGAAAAGAGGUGGUGAAGAUGUGUAAUUCCAUUCUGCUCCCAAACAGCUAAAUGAAGCGGCUGAUUGUUAACCUGAAAGUCAGGGUUGUGCCAAAUGGGAGAGAACUCACAGGGCUCCAAUUUGGAGUUUGUAAUUUCUAAUGCCUUCCACCAAGCGGUCAAGGUGGAGGAUAUCAUUGGGUUUUUAAAACAAUUGUGUCGUUUGAUGGAUGUUGUAAUAAAGAGUAUGUCUGAAAGUCUGAUGCUGUUGCAAUCCUUCUGUUCUAAUUCUAACCAACAGUUGGCAUCUCUGUUAGGUUGUGUCCAUCGAAUAAGAUAUUGUAGCUGGUUAGCUAAAUAAUAAUGCAUAAAAUUUGGUGCCUCUAGACCUCCUUCGGAUUUACUUAUCUGAAGAGUAGAUAGACUGAUUUUUGCUUUUUAUUAUUCCAGUAGAAUUUUGUGAUAGCUAAGUCCAGCGACUGGAACCAGUUGGAUGUUGGUUUGAAUGGAAUCAUUGAAAAGAAAUCAUUUAUUUUUGGUAUGAUUUUCAUUUUAAUAGUAGCUAUUCGUCCCAGAAGAGAUAUAGGGAGAUUAUUCCAACGCUGUAGAUCCCUGCUGAUAUUAUCCAGUAGUGGGGCAAAAUGUAAGUGAGUUAAUUCAGAUAAUUUAGGUGAAAUUUUUAUGCCUAAGUAUUUUAAAUUGCCUGUAGAGAAAGAGUAGUGAGGGUCCUGGUCUGCAGGGUUCCAUGAAUUUUCUGUGAUCAGAGGUAAUGUUGAUUUUGUCCAAUUUAUGGAAUAAUCUGAUAAAUGUGAAAAUUUAGUUAUUAAGUUAAAUACUUCCCUUAAUGAGGUAGCGGGUUCUUCGAAAUAAAGUAAUAUAUCAUCUGCGUAUAAAUUAAUUUUGUGUUCUGUUGCCCCAGAGCGGAUUCCUUGGAUCCUGACAUCCUGGCACACAGCUGUUGCCAACGGCUCAAUGAAUAUCGCAAAUAACAAAGGAGAGAGUGGACAGCCCUGUCUGGUGCCUCUCUGUAAGGUGAAGGUCUUUGAGAUGGAACCUCGCUUCCGGAGGCGAGCUGACGGCAGUCUCAACUUCUCAGACUCACCUGAAGCAGCCAAAAGUUAAAGCGCAAAACUGAGACAAGCCAUGGCAGCGCCCCUUGUCCCCAGAAGGAGUGCUGGAAAGGGCCAAAAAAGCAUUGGUCCAGCCCCACGGAGACACACAAAAUCAAGUACACCUCCUGGGUUUCUUUGAAAUUCAGUUUGGUGUGUUUCGUGGCCUGUCAUUUAGGUGGGUGGCUGAAAACGCGCUGGGGUAUGCUGCUUACCUGGUGGCAGCGAUGAAGAGGGACCCCACAGGAGGCAGCAAAGACUCCCGAGAGCAUGCCCAGAACAAGGCGUGUUUUAGGGAGUACAUUGAGUUGUUUCCUUCUGGCAGAAUUGCUAUUGCCAUGAAGGAAGAGCGGUAUGCUGGAAAAACACGGCAGCAUGCUGCCACCACCUCUCAGCCCACCUCCACCACCACCACCCAGCAUGUUGCCACUUCCACCCAGAACGUUGCCACCUCCUCUCUCUGCUCCUUGUUGGUCGGAAAGCUGCCAAACCAGCCAAGUUUGUCCAGAGCUAUUAAAAGGCUGGUUUCCCCUGUCAAAGCCAAACCUUCUUUGACCCAGGCACGCGCACGGCAGUACACCACUGAGGCUCCAGAACCCUCGUGCUCAUCCACUCAACCCUCUGUGUCCACUGAGCUGGAUGACAGCACAUUGUUCACAGAGGCAAUGAAGUUUGAGGAGGCACAGUUGGCACCACAGCAGAUCUGUCUUCCAGCUGGCUGGAUACACACCUUGCCUGAAGUGGACCAGAAGUGGAUUUGACAGCACAGGGGCAUCUGGAGCUGGACUUCAGCAGAGUUAACAGGAUUUGGUGGUAUCCACCACAGGUGCCACUGAGGACCCGUACUCUUCCACCACUGGAGAACUACUUUGGCCACCUCCUGCUGCUCUGGAUGCCACGCAAGCUGUGGCAGGUGCAACUGACAUGUCCUCAUUCAAACUGCAGUGGUCGUCUGACCUCAGCUGGCCUGCAUAUCCGUGAGUGCAUCAUCACCAAUGCAAAGGUGAUGAAUGAGACCACAUUACAGCUUCCAGAAGUGAAUGCUGCGACCAUCACACAAUGGUUCAGCAGGCGUUCCCGGUCACAGGAGCAAGCAAUUUUAAAACAGGGUAUCAAAGCUCCAGACGCACCCAUGGCAGGACCUGAGAGGCUUCCUGCAGCGAUGCAGAAAAGCCCAGCUCUGUAUCCUGGCAGUUCAGCUCAGCCUCACCUCUUCAUUCUGCCUCCAAACACGGCUGGGGAGGCUAAGCUCAAGGGGAGAUUCCAGCCUCAGGCCAUCUCCCAGGCUCCUCCACUACAGCAGGCACUUCCUAUGAUUGCACCGGCACCUUCCACCACUCUCCCCUUCAUUGUACCAUCUCUGCAGCAUCCUACAGUGUCUGGACCCUCACAGAUGAUGACUGCACCUGGAACCUCACAGGCGAUUUUCCUACCUCCAGCUUUUCCACCAUCAACUCCAGUUCCUUAUACCACUCAGCAAUACAGGAAGAGGAAACUGGAAAGGGAGCGCACUGGCAUUGUCACAAGGAAAUAUGUCAAUAAGACAGAUGUGAUCCUUUGUAAAAAGUGCAACAAAGAGAGAAAGCCACCAUCCCACCUGCAGUACUUCGGGAACUGGUACUGCGAGGAGUCUGAGAGCCAGUCGUAUGGAGAAUGGAGGACUGUGUUGGAGGCUCGUGGUUAUGGGAGAAAAAAGAUGGGGAGUGAUAACCCUCCAUCUCCCUAAAGGUUUUCUUUUGUAGUUUUAUUGUGUGUAUUUAUUAUUAUUUAUCAUUAUUUAUUAUGUAUAUUAUUUUUGAGCCAACGCUCUUACCUCUUGAUUUUGUGUUUUUUGUUUGGCUAUAUUUUAUUUCACGUGUGCAGUUACAAUGGUCGUGGGAUGUCCUAAUAGUGCUUUGUUUCAUUAUUUUUGUUUUGUUCAGUUUCUUGCACUUUAUUUCAUUUUAUGUUCAGCCUUUGCACUGUGUCUACACACAUCGGUUGAACAGACUGCUCUGAGUGUGAUCUGAUUUUAAUGAGAACAGUAGCACUAGUAAUCAUAUCAAUAAUAAUAAGAACAAUAGUAAUAAUAAUAAUAAUAUCAAUUAAAAUAAUAAUGGUAAUGAUUAGGUUGAUAAAUAAUCAAAUAUGUUAAUAUAAUUAUAUUGAAAGCAAUAGUAUUAAUAUGGUAACAUUAAUAAU
Long non-coding RNA from Acanthochromis polyacanthus (spiny chromis), 8863 nucleotides. RefSeq lists it as uncharacterized. The transcript is spliced from 5 exons. Lineage: Eukaryota; Metazoa; Chordata; Actinopteri; Pomacentridae. The record is from RefSeq and is a predicted model, not a curated record.